GCCAGGUUCAUGAUAUAGCAAGCUACACUAGGCAAAAAAAUGAUGCAAAAAAUCCUUUUUCAACUGUACAACUAGGAGUCUUCGCCAGUUUUAUGGAGUGGGGGGAGCGAGUUGUUACGUGCACCAAGCCCAACCCUGAUGUGUUUAAUCUAUGGAAGCAAGAGGAAAUGGAGACAUCCCAGCUGUGGGUUAAGUGACCGGGACAGACAGAGGCUACUGCCGUUUUUGAGGAGAUGAUUAUAAGUGUUGCAGGAGAUCCCGAAAUUUGGAAGUCUUCUAUAGAAAAAGGGAAGAGGCAACCCAAAGGCACCGGACCAAGAGGAGGGAGGGAGACAACAGCACUCACCGUUCCCUUUGCUCUGUGCUGGGCCAGACACUCAGUCACGGGACCUGCUUCAGGGAACGACGGGAAAUGUAGUACGGAUUCUUUUUCGUCUUGCAUCUUGGGACUUGUGGUUCAGACCCUUCUCCUUCGAAGGAUUUGUAGUCAAGCCCAUAGAGCAAAAACAGGGGGGGAAAGAGCAACAUACUCCACUGAAGACAAAACUUCUGAGGCACUUUUUUUUCCUCCUGGAAGGCGGAACUGAGGUGCCCAUAAAAAAAAUGGAGAAAUGCAGAAUUUUAGGAUAAUUUGCGAUUAAACAGCAGUGGGGUUUUUCUUCGCACAAAAAGAUAGCAGCAAAAAAUAGGAACGUUCCUGCUGUUUCUAACUCGGGUCUUCUUUUAUGCAAAAAAAAUAUUGUUUUGAAUUUGUAAAAAAAAACACGAAUUGUCCUGCGAAUACCCGCGUUAGUUAUCCCUCUGUUGUUGGGGUGUACUGUGGUUUGAAGUGAGUGGCUUACAACAGCCCUGCAAUGUAGUCCACUGUUAACAUUGCAGAUUAGAGGUGAUGCAGAGGCUGAUUUGGUUUUCCAGCGCAAAAUCUCCCGUACUAACAAAAUACAACAAACACUAUAGGUUGCAGUAAAGUUCAAAUGUCCCUACAUUCAGGGUAUCGUCUGAAGCUAUAUGAGACCACCAUCUUGGUGAAGUGAUCUGUUUACUGCUUUGCUGGAAGACUGUCGUCUAAAUGUUGAACAAGUCUUUAAAAAAUACGUUUUUCACAUGAAAUAAGUCUUGCAUUAAAAAGACCACAAACUCCUCUUUGCAUGUAAAUCCAGGAUUUAUCUCCUGAUGUCUAUGACGAUGGAGGGGGGAGAGAGCUUCCAAACUGUACUCGAAAGUCGGAAAUCUAUGAGUCCAUUUAUCCUAACAACUAUAGAUCAGGUAUGCCCCACACUCUCCAACCCAGCGAGAGCAGAGAGCAUGUUGGGGGUUGUAGUCUUGCAGCCCCCUUCUGAUGGCGGAGAGCGGAGGGAAUUGAAGGCAUGCAAUUAGAGGCAACUGUCUCGUAGCAAUCCAUCCUCGAUCGGCCUUAAGCUGACCUAUCUCCAACACCUACCAUUUUAGGGUUGCAAUUCUCCACCAUUUUCAAGCGGAAAAAAAUAAAAAACAACAUAACUAACACCAAAAAGGGGGUACUAUGUCACAAACAACCUUAGGGCGCACGCUGGAGUGAAAAAGCUGGGACAAUUCUUCCCAGCAUGCCAUGAAGUAAGUGAGGAAGAUAAUGUGUUGGGAACAACCAUCUGAACAUCCCACCCUAUCAUACAUCGCAGAAAGCUACACAAAAUGGGUCAUUGAGCUGGCAGUGAUCUGUGUCAGUGAAGGUUUGGAGCUGACAUUCCUGAGGCACCACGUUCAGCCACCAAGGCUUUUGUGGAGGCAACAGGCCAGGCCCUGGCAUGAACACUUACCAAUGGGGGCUCAGUUACGAUGGGCUCUACAGGCAGCAGUGCCCAGAAGAAGCGUCUCCAACACAACAAGCAUAAGACCCAGGGCACCAGUGUUCUAAU
This is a long non-coding RNA of Rhineura floridana, 1895 nucleotides long. RefSeq lists it as uncharacterized. The transcript is spliced from 3 exons. The record is from RefSeq and is a predicted model, not a curated record. NCBI's taxonomy places the organism in Eukaryota, Metazoa, Chordata, Lepidosauria, Squamata, Rhineuridae.